Molecule: ribosomal RNA, 301 nt
Filed under: uncultured bacterium
Lineage: Bacteria
Description: partial 16S ribosomal RNA
Rfam family: Bacterial small subunit ribosomal RNA
Source: RNAcentral
CAGCCGCCGCGGGAACACAGAGGGUGCGAGCGUUAAUCGGAUUUACUGGGCGUAAAGCGUGCGUAGGCGGCUUCUUAAGUCGGAUGUGAAAUCCCUGAGCUUAACUUAGGAAUUGCAUUCGAUACUGGGAAGCUAGAGUAUGGGAGAGGAUGGUAGAAUUCCAGGUGUAGCGGUGAAAUGCGUAGAGAUCUGGAGGAAUACCGAUGGCGAAGGCAGCCAUCUGGCCUAAUACUGACGCUGAGGUACGAAAGCAUGGGGAGCAAACAGGAUUAGAUACCCGAGUAGUCCCUGUCUCUUAUAC